Molecule: ribosomal RNA, 326 nt
Filed under: Staphylococcus epidermidis
Lineage: Bacteria; Bacillati; Bacillota; Bacilli; Caryophanales; Staphylococcaceae
Description: bacterial SSU rRNA
Rfam family: Bacterial small subunit ribosomal RNA
Source: RNAcentral
UUUUAUGGAGAGUUUGAUCCUGGCUCAGGAUGAACGCUGGCGGCGUGCCUAAUACAUGCAAGUCGAGCGAACAGACGAGGAGCUUGCUCCUCUGACGUUAGCGGCGGACGGGUGAGUAACACGUGGAUAACCUACCUAUAAGACUGGGAUAACUUCGGGAAACCGGAGCUAAUACCGGAUAAUAUAUUGAACCGCAUGGUUCAAUAGUGAAAGACGGUUUUGCUGUCACUUAUAGAUGGAUCCGCGCCGCAUUAGCUAGUUGGUAAGGUAACGGCUUACCAAGGCAACGAUGCGUAGCCGACCUGAGAGGGUGAACGGCCACACUG